RNAcentral lists this ribosomal RNA (253 nucleotides) under uncultured bacterium. Its description in RNAcentral is "partial 16S ribosomal RNA". It matches the Rfam family "Bacterial small subunit ribosomal RNA", at positions 524 to 776 of the family's 1533-position model. The record is from RNAcentral.
UACGAAGGGGGCUAGCGUUGCUCGGAAUCACUGGGCGUAAAGGGUGCGUAGGCGGGUUUUUAAGUCAGGGGUGAAAUCCUGGAGCUCAACUCCAGAACUGCCUUUGAUACUGAAAAUCUUGAGUUCGGGAGAGGUGAGUGGAACUGCGAGUGUAGAGGUGAAAUUCGUAGAUAUUGGGAAGAACACCAGUGGCGAAGGCGGCUAACUGGUCCGAUACUGACGCUGAGGUGCGAAAGCGUGGGGAGCAAACAGG